Molecule: transfer RNA, 84 nt
Filed under: Felis catus (domestic cat)
Lineage: Eukaryota; Metazoa; Chordata; Mammalia; Carnivora; Felidae
Also listed under: 1 other name
Rfam family: tRNA
About the family: Transfer RNA (tRNA) molecules are approximately 80 nucleotides in length. Their secondary structure includes four short double-helical elements and three loops (D, anti-codon, and T loops).
Source: Rfam by way of RNAcentral
ACCUGGGUGGCUCAGUCGGUUGGGCGUCUGACUUCAGCUCAGGUCAUGAUCUCACAGCUGUGGGUUUGAGCCCCACAUCGGGCU